RNAcentral lists this ribosomal RNA (497 nucleotides) under uncultured marine bacterium. Its description in RNAcentral is "bacterial SSU rRNA". It matches the Rfam family "Bacterial small subunit ribosomal RNA", at positions 8 to 494 of the family's 1533-position model. The record is from RNAcentral.
AGAGUUUGAUCAUGGCUCAGAUUGAACGCUGGCGGUAUGCUUAACACAUGCAAGUCGAACGGAAACGAUGUUAGCUUGCUAACAGGCGUCGAGUGGCGGACGGGUGAGUAACGCGUAGGAAUCUACCAAGUAGUGGGGGAUAGCCCGGGGAAAUCCGGAUUAAUACCGCAUAAUCUCUACGGAGUAAAGAGGGCCUCUAUUUAUAAGCUUUCGCUAUUUGAUGAGCCUGCGUAAGAUUAGCUUGUUGGUGAGGUAAAAGCUCACCAAGGCAACGAUCUUUAGCUGGUCUGAGAGGAUGAUCAGCCACACUGGGACUGAGACACGGCCCAGACUCCUACGGGAGGCAGCAGUGGGGAAUAUUGGACAAUGGGCGCAAGCCUGAUCCAGCAAUACCGCGUGUGUGAAGAAGGCCUGAGGGUUGUAAAGCACUUUCAAUUGUGAAGAAAAGCUAAAGAUUAAUACUCUUUAGCCUUGACGUUAACUUUAGAAGAAGCACC